Molecule: RNA transcript, 738 nt
Organism: Piliocolobus tephrosceles (Ugandan red Colobus)
Lineage: Eukaryota; Metazoa; Chordata; Mammalia; Primates; Cercopithecidae
Gene name: elongation factor 1-beta pseudogene
Exons: 1
Source: RefSeq, a predicted model, not a curated record
AUGGCUUUUGCAGACCUGAAAAGCCCCGCUGGCCUCCAGGUGCUCAAUGAUUACCUGGAAGACAAGAGCUACAUCAAGGGGUAUGUGCCAUCACAAACAGAUGUGGCAGUAUUUAAAGCAGUGCCUGGCCCACUGCCUGCCGACUUGUGUCAUGCCCUACAUUGGUAUAAUCACAUCAAGUCUUACGAAAAGGAAAAGGCCAGCCUGCCAGGAGUGAAGAAAGCUUUGGGCAAGUAUGGUCCUGCAGAUGUGGAAGACACUACAGGAAGUGGAGCUACACAGAUAGUAAAGGUGAUGAUGACAUUAAGCUCUCUGGAUCUGAUGAGGAGGAGGAAAGUGAAGAAGCAAAGAAGCUAAGGGAAGAACGUCUUGCACAAUAUGAAUCAAAGAAAGCCAAAAAAAACCUGCACUUGUUUCCAAGUCUACCAUCUUACGAGAUGUGAAACCUUGGGAUGAUGAGGCAGAUAUGGCGAAAUUAGCGUCAGAAGCAUUCAAGCAGACGGCUUAGUCUGGGGCUCAUCUAAACUAGUUCCAGUGGGAUACGGAAUUAAGAAACUUCAAAUACAGUGUGUAGUUGAAGAUGAUAAAGUUGGAACAGAUAUGCUAAAGGAGCAGAUCACUGCAUUUGAGGACUAUGUGCAGUCCAUGGAUGUGGCUGCUUUCAACAAGAUCUAAAAUCCAUCCUGGAUCAUGACAUUUAAAUAAAAGCUUGAAAGAUUAAAAAAAAAAAAAAAAAAA